Molecule: ribosomal RNA, 472 nt
Filed under: uncultured bacterium
Lineage: Bacteria
Description: bacterial SSU rRNA
Rfam family: Bacterial small subunit ribosomal RNA
Source: RNAcentral
UGGGGAAUUUUGGACAAUGGGCGCAAGCCUGAUCCAGCCAUGCCGCGUGAGUGAAGAAGGCCUUCGGGUUGUAAAGCUCUUUCGGCGGGGACGAAACGGUUCGUGACAACACUACGGACUAAUGACGGUACCCGCAUAAGAAGCACCGGCUAACUACGUGCCAGCAGCCGCGGUAAUACGUAGGGUGCAGGCGUUAAUCGGAAUUACUGGGCGUAAAGCGUGCGCAGGCGGUUUGUUAAGACAGGUGUGAAAUCCCCGGGCUUAACCUGGGAAUUGCGCUUGUAACUGGCAGGCUAGAGUGUGGCAGAGGGGGGUGGAAUUCCACGUGUAGCAGUGAAAUGCGUAGAGAUGUGGAGGAACACCGAUGGCGAAGGCAGCCCCCUGGGUCAACACUGACGCUCAUGCACGAAAGCGUGGGGAGCAAACAGGAUUAGAUACCCCAGUAGUCCCUGAGCGGGCUGGCAAGGCGCAU